This 460-nucleotide ribosomal RNA is filed under the name uncultured bacterium. RNAcentral describes it as "partial 16S ribosomal RNA". It matches the Rfam family "Bacterial small subunit ribosomal RNA", at positions 338 to 795 of the family's 1533-position model. The record is from RNAcentral.
CCUACGGGAGGCAGCAGUGAGGAAUAUUUGUCAAUGGACUCAAGUCUGAACCAGCCAUGCCGCGUGCAGGAUGACGGCUCUAUGAGUUGUAAAAUGCUUUUGUACGAGGGUAAUAUCAGAUACGUGUAUCUACUUAAUAGUAUCGUACGAAUAAUGAUCGGCUAACUCCGUGCCAGCAGCAGAGGGAAUACUGAGGAUCCAAACGUUAUCCGGAUUUAUUGGGGUUAACGGGUGAGUAUGCGGUUUGAUAAGUUAGAGGUGAAAAUUCGGGGCUCAACUCCGGACGUGCCUCUAAUACAGUAUGACUAGAGAAUAGAUGCGGUAGGCGGAAUGUAUGGUGUAGCGGGGAAAUGCGUAGAGAUCAUACAGAACACCGAUUGCGAAGGCAGCUUACCAAACUAUAUCUGACGUUGAGGCACGAAAGCGUGGGGAGCAAACAGGAUUAGAUACCCUAGUAGUA